CCUACGGGCGGCUGCAGUGGGGAAUAUUGGACAAUGGGCGAAAGCCUGAUCCAGCCAUGCCGCGUGUGUGAAGAAGGCCUUCGGGUUGUAAAGCACUUUCAGUGGGGAAGAAAGCCUUGGGGCUAAUACCCUCGAGGAAGGACAUCACCCACAGAAGAAGCACCGGCUAACUCCGUGCCAGCAGCCGCGGUAAUACGGAGGGUGCGAGCGUUAAUCGGAAUUACUGGGCGUAAAGCGCGCGUAGGCGGUCUGAUAAGCCGGUUGUGAAAGCCCCGGGCUCAACCUGGGAACGGCAUCCGGAACUGUCAGGCUAGAGUGCAGGAGAGGAAGGUAGAAUUCCCGGUGUAGCAGUGAAAUGCGUAGAGAUCGGGAGGAAUACCAGUGGCGAAGGCGGCCUUCUGGACUGACACUGACGCUGAGGUGCGAAAGCGUGGGUAGCAAACAGGAUUAGAUACCCGGGUAGUC
RNAcentral lists this ribosomal RNA (465 nucleotides) under Vreelandella stevensii. Its description in RNAcentral is "partial 16S ribosomal RNA". It matches the Rfam family "Bacterial small subunit ribosomal RNA", at positions 338 to 795 of the family's 1533-position model. The record is from RNAcentral. Lineage: Bacteria; Pseudomonadati; Pseudomonadota; Gammaproteobacteria; Oceanospirillales; Halomonadaceae.